UAGUGAAAUUGGGGAUCAAAUCUCUAAAAUCUAGAUUCAACCUUCGUGUAGGCCUAAAAUUGCAGACCCUCUACUUCGCAUGCACGCCAGGCAACACAGGAAAGUGGGAUGAAUCUCCUGAUCAAAGCAUCUUCACAAGGCAACCAAAUGAGGAAGGAGAGCUACCAGGUGUGUCACCUCACACCAGUAAGGGGAUGCCCAAGAUGGGCCCAUGCCA
This 217-nucleotide long non-coding RNA is filed under the name Elaeis guineensis (African oil palm). RNAcentral's name for it is "long non-coding RNA (EGUI_LNC065800)". The record is from RNAcentral. Lineage: Eukaryota; Viridiplantae; Streptophyta; Magnoliopsida; Arecales; Arecaceae.